Molecule: ribosomal RNA, 364 nt
Filed under: uncultured bacterium
Lineage: Bacteria
Description: bacterial SSU rRNA
Rfam family: Bacterial small subunit ribosomal RNA
Source: RNAcentral
AACGAACGCUGGCGGCAUGCCUAACACAUGCAAGUCGAACGAGACCUUCGGGUCUAGUGGCGCACGGGUGCGUAACGCGUGGGAAUCUGCCCUUGGGUUCGGAAUAACAGCGAGAAAUUGCUGCUAAUACCGGAUGAUGACGUAAGUCCAAAGAUUAUCGCCCAAGGAUGAGCCCGCGUAGGAUUAGCUAGUUGGUGAGGUAAAGGCUCACCAAGGCGACGAUCCUUAGCUGGUCUGAGAGGAUGAUCAGCCACACUGGGACUGAGACACGGCCCAGACUCCUACGGGAGGCAGCAGUGGGGGAAUAUUGGACAAUGGGGCGAAAGCCUGAUCCAGCAAUGCCGCGUGAGUGAUGAAGGCCUUA